This 837-nucleotide long non-coding RNA is filed under the name Numida meleagris (helmeted guineafowl). RNAcentral describes it as "lncRNA (ENSNMEG00000001214.1)". Lineage: Eukaryota; Metazoa; Chordata; Aves; Galliformes; Numididae. The record is from RNAcentral.
CUGAAGGAGACUAAGGAGAACAGUUACGCCUCGACACACCAGGACAAGCAACAAAACUAACCCUCCCCUACCAGCCCAGGGCGGCCGGGUGAGCACCGGCCGGUCAGGGACACACAGGGAGCAAAGCAACCUUAGCUAGCAGGGGGAGAUGCUCACAGCACUACCAACUUACAACAACAAAAACAAGGCAAAAAAAAAAACAAAACAAAACAAAAAAAAAAACCACCUAUAGUUAAUCUCUGGGAAGGGUACGCCGUCACUUGAGGGCUGAAGCCCGCUGACCUGAGAGCAAGCUCCGACCCGUGCCGCCGGCUGGGCGGGAAGCGCGAAAGCACCGCCUCACACUCAGCCCCGCACGCACCGGCGACCGUCAGAAGCACCGCCGCGCAGGGAAACAUCCUGAAGGGAAGGGUCUCCCGCCUUGAGCCUUGCCUCAGCUGAGCGCCAUGUGAGGCGCUGCGGCGAUAAUUGCGCUUAAAGGCUGCUGGUGCUUGUCGGCCGUGUUUGAUAACCAUGGCUGCCUGGAAGUCCUGAUUUGAUGUAUUAUGGAGACUUGCAAAAUUCUGCAGCUACAGCAAAAAGAUCUUAACUCCUGUGUAGGCUGUCCCAGGAAGAUAGCACUGGUGUCUGACAAAAAGUUGUUUUCACAUGAGGAGGAAAAAGUAAAUGUUUCCAAAAAAGAAGCAGCAGAUGUAAUUGUCCCAUCACAACAUUCUUUCCAUUUUUUUUCCCCCUUAACCCAUGUAUUUGGGGAGCCAUGAGAUGUUUAAAUCAGGAUUCUACUUUGCCUACAUUCUCUCUGCAGCCAAAAGAGAAUAAAAUUGUCUCUGGAGAGCA